Molecule: long non-coding RNA, 865 nt
Organism: Astatotilapia calliptera (eastern happy)
Lineage: Eukaryota; Metazoa; Chordata; Actinopteri; Cichliformes; Cichlidae
Source: Ensembl
CCCUGGUCCUCGGGGGAGAAGUUCUCCACGGUCUGCACCAUAUUUCCGCUAGUCUCCCGCGGGGUGAGGAAGGAGUCCAGAAACCCCAUGACCGCGAAGAACUUCCAUCUCCUCUCCGAUCCUGCUGCAGACCCACUCCUCUUCUCCUUCUCUGUCCUCUUCUCCUUAUUAUAGGUGUCCCUGAGGCUCUUCCACUUUCUCCUGCAGAUGUCCUCUGAAUAAACGCAUUAUCUUGUUAGCGGAAAGAUUAAGUGCAAGAGUUGUUAAGUGUGGAUACGCAGCCCUGCCCUCCUGCACUAUCAGCAGUGGGAGCAGCAGAAACCCCUCAACAGCAACAUUUUACCCCAUCAGGAGGGGAGAGAGACACACAAACAACGAGCGCUCCCGUCCAUUAUUCUUGCUAAUGUGACAAGCUGCAAGCCUGCAUCAACCACUUCCGUGAGUACAGAACUUUCUGGCUUUUAUGGAAUCGUGGUUAAACAACAGCGACGACAACAGCACGCUACACACUUUUCACCACGCCUUCAUCGACAGAGACCGUGAAUGCACUGGGAAGCAACAUGGCGGCAGCUGGUGCCCUACAAUCACCGUGAGGGCUGUUUCCCUGUGUCCCUACUACCUCCUCAGAGAAUUCCCACAGCUUUUCAUCAUCUUGGCCCUGACAACAUCAGCAAUCGUUUGAUCUAUAGUGUUACAUCAUAUUCUAUAAGGAUGUUAUGUGUUUGUAGACUUUCUGCCCAGUUUGACCCAUUUAGCAGACGUCAGCCUGUUUAAGGCUCUGAUGUCUAUUCUGUGUGACUUACAGCAGUUAUGACAUGGUCUGAUUUUCUCACCCAAUAAAGGAAUAUUUCAUAUAUCAGUCUAC